GAAAAAGCAGAGCUCUGUUGCAUUUGACAGAUCUCACGUAUACUUCAGGGAAAUUGAAUUGGUCAUCGUGAUUGGGUGAAUCUGAGUUUUGAUUUUAUUACAACUAAAAGGUUCAGUACAUGAUGGUACACUG
This is a non-coding RNA of Brassica napus (rape), 133 nucleotides long. The record is from Rfam. Lineage: Eukaryota; Viridiplantae; Streptophyta; Magnoliopsida; Brassicales; Brassicaceae.